UACGGAGGGUGCGAGCGUUAAUCGGAAUUACUGGGCGUAAAGCGCACGUAGGCUGUUUUGUAAGUCAGGGGUGAAAGCCCACGGCUCAACCGUGGAAUUGCCCUUGAUACUGCGGGACUUGAAUUCGGGAGAGGAUGGCGGAAUUCCAGGUGUAGGAGUGAAAUCCGUAGAUAUCUGGAGGAACAUCAGUGGCGAAGGCGGCCAUCUGGAUCGAUAUUGACGCUGAGGUGCGAAAGCGUGGGGAG
Molecule: ribosomal RNA, 245 nt
Filed under: uncultured Desulfovibrio sp.
Lineage: Bacteria; Pseudomonadati; Thermodesulfobacteriota; Desulfovibrionia; Desulfovibrionales; Desulfovibrionaceae
Description: partial 16S ribosomal RNA
Rfam family: Bacterial small subunit ribosomal RNA
Source: RNAcentral